AGCGAACAGACGAGGAGCUUGCUCCUCUGACGUUAGCGGCGGACGGGUGAGUAACACGUGGAUAACCUACCUAUAAGAUUGGGACAACUUCGGGAAACCGGAGCUAAUACCGGAUAAUAUAUUGAACCGCAUGGUUCAAUAGUGAAAGACGGUUUUGCUGUCACUUAUAGAUGGAUCCGCGCCGCAUUAGCUAGUUGGUAAGGUAACAGCUUACCAAGGCAACGAUGCGUAGCCGACCUGAGAGGGUGAUCGGCCACACUGGAACUGAGACACGGUCCAGACUCCUACGGGAGGCAGCAGUAGGGAAUCUUCCGCAAUGGGCGAAAGCCUGACGGAGCAACGCCGCGUGAGUGAUGAAGGUCUUCGGAUCGUAAAACUCUGUUAUUAGGGAAGAACAAAUGUGUAAGUAACUAUGCACGUCUUGACGGUACCUAAUC
Molecule: ribosomal RNA, 437 nt
Filed under: uncultured Staphylococcus sp.
Lineage: Bacteria; Bacillati; Bacillota; Bacilli; Caryophanales; Staphylococcaceae
Description: bacterial SSU rRNA
Rfam family: Bacterial small subunit ribosomal RNA
Source: RNAcentral